Molecule: ribosomal RNA, 855 nt
Filed under: Triticum aestivum (bread wheat)
Lineage: Eukaryota; Viridiplantae; Streptophyta; Magnoliopsida; Poales; Poaceae
Description: partial small subunit ribosomal RNA
Source: RNAcentral
AUGGUUAAGAUUGGAAGGCUUAUUGAUGGGCAAUAUGCAAGAUUUGAAGAAGAAUACAAAGUUGUUGAAGACAAUCACCAACAAACGGCUUCAUGUAGUUGUGGGCAGUUUGAGAGAGUAGGAAUUUUGUGUGCUCAUGCUUUGAAAGUUCUUGAUUUAAUGAAUAUCAAGUUGUUGCCGGCACACUACAUUUUGAAGCGAUGGACAAGAGAAGCACGGUCAGGAUCCAUCAAAGAUUGUUGUGGACGGACUGUAGUUGAAAAUCCAAAGUUGGAUGCCAUCACCCGAUACAAUUUUCUUAUACACAUGUGUUGUGAGUUGGCAACUCUAGCAGCCAACUCUGAAGAAUGUUGUAUUGUUAUCGAGAAUGCACUUAUUAGUGCUACUAAGCAAGUGAAGGAACUAUUGGGUGCACGCACAACUAAUGUUGAAGACAGAUGCCAUGUCCAGGUGGCUCAAUCAUCAAAUGAAUCGUUGAGUGGUACACAAGUGACUCAAACAUCAAAUGAAUUGUUGAGUGUUGCACGUCUGAAGAAAAAAGAGGUUGAGAAGAAAGGCUCUAAAAGAAAAUUAGGUUUCCUUGAGAGGCAACACAAGAGGAGGAGGAAAACACCAUCUGCGACCACAUCAAAAAAAGAAAAAGAAGAUUGUCCCAUCAGCCAGCAGGGAGAAAAGGAGAACAUACCAUCACAGACUAGUUCAGUAAAGAAGGUUGUCUCAAAAAAAUUUGCAAAAAAGACUAAACCAAUACCAAAACUGAAGCAAGCAAGCACUGCAAAAUAUGAGUUCAUGGAAAGUUUCACCAAUUUGUUGACAGCUCCUAUUGUUAAUGACAUAGAUGUUGACACAUUCUGA